UAACUCAUGGUGUUGGGUUUCCUGGAAU
This 28-nucleotide small RNA is filed under the name Bombyx mori (domestic silkworm). Its description in RNAcentral is "ovarian small RNA-18979". Lineage: Eukaryota; Metazoa; Arthropoda; Insecta; Lepidoptera; Bombycidae. The record is from RNAcentral.